GCUUGUGGCUCAGUCAGUGGUAGAGUGCUUGCCUCACAUGUGUGAGGCACUGGGUUCAAUUCUCAGCACCGCA
RNAcentral lists this transfer RNA (73 nucleotides) under Marmota monax (woodchuck). RNAcentral describes it as "tRNA.Val". The record is from RNAcentral. Lineage: Eukaryota; Metazoa; Chordata; Mammalia; Rodentia; Sciuridae.